Molecule: transfer RNA, 72 nt
Filed under: Morchella semilibera
Lineage: Eukaryota; Fungi; Ascomycota; Pezizomycetes; Pezizales; Morchellaceae
Description: tRNA-Ile
Rfam family: tRNA
About the family: Transfer RNA (tRNA) molecules are approximately 80 nucleotides in length. Their secondary structure includes four short double-helical elements and three loops (D, anti-codon, and T loops).
Source: RNAcentral
AACUGUUUAUUUAUUGGUUAAAUUAUUAGGAUUUAUACCCCUAAUAUCUUAGUUCGAAUCUAAUAACAGUUA